RNAcentral lists this long non-coding RNA (963 nucleotides) under Homo sapiens (human). RNAcentral's name for it is "HSALNT0266814". Lineage: Eukaryota; Metazoa; Chordata; Mammalia; Primates; Hominidae. The record is from RNAcentral.
CGUUGGCCUUUGCUGCUGCUGUACCCUUCUGCUGGAGACUGAAAGCCACCUAUUCUGGGAAGCCUUCCCUGAUCACCAAGACAGAAUCUGAUGUUCUGGGUUUUCCUGGCACCGCACACACUUCUCACAAUAUCCUAUUAUCUUAGUUUGUUUCUAUGCCCAUCUCCCCCAACUGGAGUCCAAGAUAUUGUCCCUAGGAUUUUUCUGACAUACAGUUAGUGCUCAAUAAGUGUCUGCUGAAUGAAGCUUUUCAGGUUUCACAACCAUGGGAAAUCUUGGGUCUCAAGAACAGAUCAAGGUGUUUGAUUUUCCUGGGAAGGGUAGACCCUGUGUAGUUCUGGCAAGUGAUCCCUCUUCUGAUGGAAAUUCUGUUUGAUGCCCUCCCUAGUGAGGCCAGGGUGGCAACGUGAGCCUAUCCUCCUUUGCAGCAGACCUGAGCCCUGUAGAUUUACAGAUAUCUGAGUGUGGAAUCCAGCCCUGAGUCCACACCUUGUAGAAAGCAGGAGGAGAGCAGGCCUUGAACAACUGAAGUUGCUUAUCUGCUAUGAGCCUCCUGGAGGCCCAAAUAAAGAAUCCAGAAUGUGGCGAGUCUCCACUGCUGCCUGGGCCCUGUUGCCUCUAAGAUGAACUUAUCGCUGACCUUUCUGGCACAUGGAGAAUGUCCCCACUGCCCGGAGAAGAGAGGCCUCUCCUUGUGGUCCUGCAUUCUGGACUCAGUGGGAUCCACCGCACUCAGCAUUCUUGGCUUCAUGCUGGAGCUGAGCGUAAGUUCUAGGGACUAGGAAUCUGAAAUCAAAGCGUCAGUGGCACCUUCUGAGGGCUGUGAGGAGCCUGUCCCAUGCCUCUUGACUAGCUUCUGGUGGCCUGCUGGCAAUCUGUGGUGUUCCUUGGCUGUAGAGGCAUCGUCCCGAUAUCUGCCUUCAUCUUCACAUGACGUUCUCUCUAUGUGUGCAUCUGUGUCCA